This 229-nucleotide long non-coding RNA is filed under the name Glycine max (soybean). Its description in RNAcentral is "long non-coding RNA (GMAX_LNC002862)". Lineage: Eukaryota; Viridiplantae; Streptophyta; Magnoliopsida; Fabales; Fabaceae. The record is from RNAcentral.
UGAGAGUCAUUUUCGAGUGUGUUGUUAUUGGUGUUUGAAGAAUUAAGUAAUAAUGAUUCAAUCCAACAAAAAUGUUUGUCAAAGGUUUUUAUUUAUAAUCUAACUACAACUAACUAUUAUAAGAUUUUGACACAUAUACAACAAAUUCAUGAUUGCCUAAAUUUAAUGGCUCCAAAUGUUUUCACAUAAUCAUUUUCAUCAACCACUGUAGCUGCUUUUCGAAUUUGAA